Molecule: transfer RNA, 72 nt
Filed under: Candidatus Wildermuthbacteria bacterium
Lineage: Bacteria; Candidatus Wildermuthiibacteriota
Description: tRNA-Arg
Rfam family: tRNA
About the family: Transfer RNA (tRNA) molecules are approximately 80 nucleotides in length. Their secondary structure includes four short double-helical elements and three loops (D, anti-codon, and T loops).
Source: RNAcentral
GCUCUCAUAGUUCAAUGGAUAGAGCGCAGCCCUCCGAAGGCUGAAAUCCAGGUUCGAAUCCUGGUGAGAGCA